RNAcentral lists this long non-coding RNA (433 nucleotides) under Androctonus crassicauda. The record is from RNAcentral. Lineage: Eukaryota; Metazoa; Arthropoda; Arachnida; Scorpiones; Buthidae.
GGGGCUGCCCGUAAUAGAGAUGUCGGGGUCUGGAGGAUGCAGCCGAUUUCUGCUGAUUUGAUCAGGUUGGAGAUUCGGGCCGUGGGCUGGGAUCGUGGAUUCUUUUUCUGAUUGGUUGACGUUGUCUUCGCUGUCCCAUAUGACUGGGAUGUCAUCAACGUAUCUACGGUGCAGUUUUGCUUCGUUGAUCGGGUUCGUUGGCUUGGAUGUUUCAAUUUUUCUCAGUGUCGGCUCUGCCGGCGUUCCGGCGGGGGGGCUGCUGAUGGGGACCCCUUCAGUUUGUCGGUGGGGGACAUUCCUAGACUCGGGGUGUGGCCGAUUGCAUGGGACGUCUGCUGUAUCUCUGUGCAGUGCUGGGUCGUGAUUGUCUCGGGGAGCGUUUUCUGAGAGGAACUGGUAUAGGUGGAGGCGGGUGGGAGCCACUUUAGGUGCU